Molecule: ribosomal RNA, 379 nt
Filed under: uncultured eukaryote
Lineage: Eukaryota
Description: partial 18S ribosomal RNA
Rfam family: Eukaryotic small subunit ribosomal RNA
Source: RNAcentral
CAAUUGCGUAUAUUAAAGUUGUUGCGGUUAAAAAGCUCGUAGUUGGAUUUCUGCUGAGAACGACCGGUCCGCCCUUUGGGUGUGUAUCUGGCUCUUUCUUGGCAUCUUCUUGGUGAACGUUGCUGCACUUGACUGUGUGGAGCGCUACCCAGGACUUUUACUUUGAGGAAAUUAGAGUGUUUCAAGCAGGCAUACGCCUUGAAUACAUUAGCAUGGAAUAAUAAGAUAGGACCUCGGUUCUAUUUUGUUGGUUUCUAGAGCUGAGGUAAUGAUUAAUAGGGAUAGUUGGGGGCAUUCGUAUUUAACUGUCAGAGGUGAAAUUCUUGGAUUUGUUAAAGACGGACUACUGCGAANGNAUUUGCNAAGGAUGUUUNCAUUG